RNAcentral lists this non-coding RNA (3608 nucleotides) under Pan troglodytes (chimpanzee). The record is from RNAcentral. Lineage: Eukaryota; Metazoa; Chordata; Mammalia; Primates; Hominidae.
ACUCGGUCUCUCUGGCUAUUUUGUGUGUUCCGAUCUGACAGCCCACAUGCCUCUGCUGUACGCCUCGGCCACAGGACACAGAGCACUAAGAAGACAGAGAACAUUCACAGUCUGGUGAGACAAGUUUGAGAUCUCAUAUUUUCAGCUCAUCCUUGAAAACCUUUCUUCGAUUUGACUGACCUUGAUGGCUCCCUGGAAUCUCACCUACAUUUUAUGGGAAAUUCAACUCUCCAGAGAGAAGAGCUUUCAGAUAGCUACGGGACUUGCAACUAUGACUUUCAGCUUUCGCUUUUGAAUGAGGCUCCAAAUGUCUCAAUGGUGGCACUAUUUCCAGAUUUGGGAGCCCUGCAAAGCUAAUCUGCUCAACCUUCACCUACUGGGUUCAAUGAAUAUGAAAAGCUGCCUUCCUGAAACUUUUCCUUCAAAGAGGGAAUGAUCUCCUGGAAUUCAAGCUUCUACAGGGUGGCUACCUGGUGUUUUCCACUUUUGCCGUCUCCUAAAAAGCAUCAAUCAAGCCUUGCCCUUUCAACCCACUGAACACAUAAACAUGCUUUCUCCUUAACUGAACUUAUGGCCACGAUGAACUUGAACUCUGAGAUUCACAGAGGAGAGUUUGUUUUAACAGCUGCUUUUACAAUGAAGCCCUGGAGUUACUACUCUCAAGACCCCUGGUUCUGAUAGGCCAUCUUUUCACUGUCCUCUGCAUUUUCUAAUGCCCAGCUGUCAAGGAACACCCACUGAAGUUUUCCAAAACAAAGGCACGAAACACAAGAAAGGCAAGAGAAUGCUAAUCACCAGAGGCAUGGGCAUCCUAUGGGGGAACCCCUUACAUGUGGAAUACGGUUUUUCUCCCCAAUUUAUUUUUAUAAAUUUAUUGAUUUCUUUGCCAGUUUGUUAUUAAUUGUUAGAGAUGUCCUGUUGCCUGAGGUUGCCCUGUCCGAUAUGGUAGCCACCAGCGACAGGUAGCUAUUUAGAGUAAUUAAAAAAUUACAUUAAAAAUGCAGUUUCCUUGUCACUUAACCAUGUUUCAAGUGCUCAGUAUUAACCACAUGUGACUAGUGGCUUCCAUAAAGGAAGGCAAAAAUAGAGAACAUUUACAUCGCUGCAGAAAGCUACCAGAUUCUUUUGGCCAAGGCAUAAGCUCUUUCUCAUAAGAGAAAGGGGAUGCAGAUCUUGCUAAGAGUGAUGGAUUUCUGGGUUCAGCCUACAUGAGUCAUCUUCCAUACUACCCCUGGACAUGCUUUCCUUGGCUGCCAAUUUUCUAUUUUAUAAAUUUCAGGAAAGAGAGAUUAUGGUUGUUAAAACCAUUCAUGACACUGAUCCCACUUUAGAGAAAACAACAGCAACAAGCAAAGAAGAUGGUGUGGAGAUCCGCACAUUCCACAUCUUUUAAUUGGUACCCAUUAAAUAACAAAGGGAAAAAGUACCCUCAGACCACAACUCUCCACCUUGUGUGGAGGCCAAGGACCCAGCAGGGAGAAGGCAGAAGAUUAGGUUCUCCACUCAUCCUGGCUCUCAGACCACUGAGCUCACAUUUGGGUUCUAAUGGAAUGGUGAUUGGAAGCAUAUUCUCCAAUAGGAGGUUUUUAAAAGUUCUGUGCCAUCAGCCAGGCAGCAUCUGUCAUUUAAAAUGACUGGCCAGUUGCACAUUUAAAAGCAAAGAUAAAAUUGCUAAUUUAUACUUACUGAAUAAACAUCAGCAGUAUCCAUGAAGGUACCUACCCUAAUAGCAAGUUGUAUUUUUAUUUUUAUGGUGGUGGCGAAGCUGCCAGGAAAACCAAAGCAUCAGUUCUUUAAUUACAUUUGUUUAGUAUUGAUUUAAUACUAAAAUUUCUCUUGCUCCCUUAGAACAAAGAGCUCUAACUUGUACACUGCUGUAUCCUUAGCACCUGGAACAGUCCCUGGCCUACAGUAGGCACUUAGAAAGUAUUUGUUAAAAAUUGAUUUUUUUUUUUAAAGAAACAACCCAGAGUUUUUUUAUUCUGCCCCAACCCCCAACCCCUGGCAUUAAAAUAAAUCUUCCUCAACUGCCAUCACUAAUCGCCAGGAUUCCCUCCUAGCCAAUUAUGCUUGGACUCAACCUCUACCUCCCACUCCACAUUCCAAAGUUUCUAUUUCUUUCCAUUCCAGAAGGGCAACUCCACAACAGGAGUGAGGGAGAGGACCUGGACUCCUCCUCAGAGUCCAAUAACACUCCUAACCCUGCUCCCCCAACCUGUGGACUUUUUAAAUCCAUGAAAAUAGAAACUGUCAAGCUACCACAAAAUAGCAUCAGAAGGCAGGAUCAGUCUUUCAUAGGCAUACAAUCUCUGUAAAUACUGAAAAAAGAUUAUUAAAAGCCUGCUAAGUUUUGUCUCCAGUGAAAUAGAUGCAGGCAAGUAUUUUGAUUGUUCUGAACACAUUAGAGAUGAGUGCUACACAGAACUAAGGUAAACUUUGUAAAUUCAUAUGUCAUAACACUUUGUUCCACAAAAAACUAUCUUAUUUUUUAUACUCCAUACUGAUACAGCCAAAUAAUGUGGCUCUUAUUUUCUAAAGAUGCCAGCAAUAUGUUUAAACAUGUCUUCAUUGUAGUAAAAGUAUCAUAUUUAUAAAAAAUACAUAUGCAUUUAAUGUGAUAUUCCUUAUAGUCAAAAUCUUGAUAUCAUCCUCCUAAUCUGGCUAGGAAUGUAUCUGCAAAAUGAAAGAGAGGAAUAUUUUGCCAUUCCCUAAACAACAGUUGUUUGAAGCUUUUGUAAUUGCUGGUUAUGGGAAUUUACCAAUAACAGGAAUGAAUUUGGAUUUUCUUUUGCUGGAAUCAAAUGGACAAUGUCAUAAUUAGCUAAAUAAUGUUGAGGCUAAAUGAAGUUUGAGUUUUAGGCACAUCCUUUAUGGAAUAUAAACAGGAACCUAAAAGUUCAUUCUGAACAUAGGUUGUUUCUUUCUGCCAAAACAAGAUUAAUAGUCAGUACCCUAACGACGAGGUCCUAUCACUGAAGUAGAUUAUCGGCUAGUCAAAUGGGUUCCUAACAGCACCUCCCUCAUGGGUUAAAAGAAGAGGGUUAAUGUGAUGUGUAUUUGCUUAAUUUGGCUUGUUAUACAGUAAACACACAGCAAACGUUAGCUAUUGUUAUCUUCAUUUCCUUUGGAGAAGUUAUCUUAUUUCUCACCUUAUUAAAAAUAAACCCUAACUCAUACAGGGACCCUCCUUACCUUGGUCCUUUCACCCAUGAAUACCAUAAUAACCUAUACUGCAAAAAGGAGGCUCAGGAGGAGGAUGAGGUAUCAAUAGGCCUCCGGGUCAUUUUUAGGAUUUAGGUAUUUUUUGAAAAGGGUAGGCUCUCUUGAAACUUCCAAGGUAGUUGUUGUAGUAUUUUAUUUUCCUUUAAUAAGAAAUGCUUUCUGAAAUGUAUUGCAGUGAACAAAUAACAAAAUUGACAAAUGCUGUAAGCCUUUUGCAGUUAUCUGAACACAAAGAAUAAAGUGUAAUCAAAUUUAUGCACAUUAGGUUUGCUUUUUCCUGUACCUAGCUGUCUCUUAUGUGUUCAGAACCAUUUCUUCCAAUCACCUUUUUUUGUCUUCUGGCUAUAAUUUAUCAUUAUCUACAAAUUCAAUAAAUGGAGCAUGCA